GUAAAACUGGCAACUGUGGGAAACACGAAAGGCAAAACGUCAAACGCAAAAUAACAACAAAAAAUCUUGAUCUCUUCGUGAUGCUGAAUUCGAUCAAUUUGUGAUUAUUAUUAUUCUGAUCGGUGCCUUGACCGCUGGCAAAUUUGGGUGGAACGGUUGAUUGUUAUCCUGUGUGCUAUACCUUCGCAGUAGAUCGCGGAAGACGGGUGAAAAAUAGGUAGCGCUACUGAUAAAAAAGAAUCUUGUUACCGGAUCGUCUUGAGGCUUCGAAGGAACAACGGACACCAAAACGCUGAGCGCCUUCGGUAUGGAAUAGAACGGGACAAUUGGCCAAUUCCAAUGAUGUAAUGAAGCCCCUUCGUUAUUUCGAAUAUCAGUAAGGCGAUCAUAAUUAGACAUCAGUGAUCUGAACGGAUUUAUUCUUCUUUGAACAUUGUGUGAAAGUUUGAAUCCGUCGCAACAGCAUGAUGAAGGAACAUUCCGCAUUCCACGAAGCAAAUGGUGAUAAAAACAGGAAUACAGUGGCUGUGGCUAGAAAACUGAUCUAUCAAACCGAGUGUCGACGAAAACUUCCUAUUAAUGAAGAUGUCAAUGGAGAAUUAAAAGCAAAAGCGAAUAACAUCCCAUGGAGUCUGAACCGCCCCGAGCAGAUCAAGCGAAAUAAAUGUAAAUUCAAUAUAAAUAUUAUCACCGAAGAAUAGAUUUGUGUUCUUCAAGUUGCAUUAUCUGUCUCGAUUUGCCAUAUGUGAACGAAAGACAUGAAAUAAAUAAAUGUAAUAAAUUCCGUGAUAUUAUUUUCUUAA
Armigeres subalbatus is the source of this 803-nucleotide long non-coding RNA. RefSeq lists it as uncharacterized. Lineage: Eukaryota; Metazoa; Arthropoda; Insecta; Diptera; Culicidae. The record is from RefSeq and is a predicted model, not a curated record. The transcript has 3 exons.